Molecule: long non-coding RNA, 1320 nt
Filed under: Monodelphis domestica (gray short-tailed opossum)
Lineage: Eukaryota; Metazoa; Chordata; Mammalia; Didelphimorphia; Didelphidae
Description: lncRNA (ENSMODG00000050805.1)
Source: RNAcentral
CGAGGAGACGGACACGCGGCAGAUGACAGGAAGGGCUCGGAACAAGCUGCGCUGAGGACAGCCCAAGGGGCACCCGCUGCCCCCCAUCUGUGUCUGCCUCAGCCGCUGCCCUCCGUCUGUGUCUGCCUCAGGCGCUGCCCUCCGUCUGUGUCUGUCUGCCUCAGCGGCUGCCCUCCCGUCUGUGUCUGUCUGCCUCAGUCGCUGCCCUCCGUCUGGGUCUGUCUGCCUCAGUCGCUGCCCUCCGUCUGUGUCUGUCUGCCUCAGUCGCUGCCCUCCGUCUGUGUCUGCCUCAGUCGCUGCCCUCCGUCUGUGUCUGUCUGCCUCAGCGGCUGCCCUCCGUCUGUGUCUGCCUCUGCCUCAGUCGCUGCCCUCCGUCUGUGUCUGCUUCUGCCUCAGUCGCUGCCCUCCGUCUGUGUCUGCCUCAGUCGCUGCCCUCCGUCUGUGUCUGUCUGCCUCAGCGGCUGCCCUCCGUCUGUGUCUGCCUCUGCCUCAGUCGCUGCCCUCCGUCUGUGUCUGCCUCUGCCUCAGUCGCUGCCCUCCGUCUGUGUCUGUCUGCCUCAGUCGCUGCCCUCCGUCUGUGUCUGCCUCUGCCUCAGUCGCUGCCCUCCGUCUGUGUCUGCCUCAGUCGCUGCCCUCUGUCUGUGUCUGUCUGCCUCAGCCGCUGCCCUCCGUCUGUGUCUGUCUGCCUCAGCCGCUGCCCUCCAUCUGUGUCUGCCUCAGUCGCUGCCCUCCAUCUGUGUUUGUCUGCCUCAGCCUCCCGGGAACCCGCUGCCCUCCGUCUGUGUCUGCCUCAGUCGCUGCCCUCUGUCUGUGUUUGUCUGCCUCAGCCUCCCGGGACACCCGCUGCCCCCCAUCUGUGUCUGCCUCAGUCGCUGCCCUCCGUCUGUGUCUGCCUCUGCCUCUGGGGCAUCUCACGAGCCCCCUCCCUCUCUGGACAAACUGGGAGGGCGCUGGGAGGAGCCUGCCCCACGGAGGUGGGAAGGGCCAGCUGGAGCCAGAGCCAUGGCCUGGGGAUGGGUGACCCUGGCCAAGUCCCUGCACCCCCAAGGCAUGGGAGGUGGAGCCUUUGAAAAAGGAGCCGGUCCACAGACACCUGGCCACAGGUGCCCAGUUCUAACGGGAGGGGGGGGGGGCUGGAGGGGCUGUGCAGGGCCAGGCCUCAUCCUCCACCAGACUACCCUGGAGAAACAGGCUCCUUGCUGUUCCCCAACACAAGAUGCCAGUUCCUGCCGCCUUUCCUUUGCCCAGGUCUCCCCUUCUGCCGGGGAUGCCGCCCCCCUCCCCCUAGGUUACUUUGUAAUUACUUUGGCUCUUUUGUAG